UAAGCGACCUACCUCGGUGUGGGGCAUAGCCGGUCUAACGGCCGGGUAAUUCCGCAUACGCUCUUGAGAGGGCAUACUCUUGAGAUGAAACCAGUAAUGGGCACUGAGAGGGGCUUGCGGCCUAUCAGCUAGUUGGUGAGGUAACGGCUCACCAAGGCUACGACGGGUAGCUGGUCUGAGAGGAUGGCCAGCCACAUUGGGACUGAGAUACGGCCCAG
Molecule: ribosomal RNA, 218 nt
Filed under: uncultured bacterium
Lineage: Bacteria
Description: partial 16S ribosomal RNA
Rfam family: Bacterial small subunit ribosomal RNA
Source: RNAcentral